Molecule: long non-coding RNA, 389 nt
Organism: Vigna unguiculata (cowpea)
Lineage: Eukaryota; Viridiplantae; Streptophyta; Magnoliopsida; Fabales; Fabaceae
Source: RefSeq, a predicted model, not a curated record
UUUUCAGAAAGCAGCUCCUUGUUCCCUCCCCUCAUCUAGUGUAAGAGCUCUGCUAGGGCAUAGAGGUUCUCUCCUUGUUUCGAGAUAGCAAAGGACAUUGUACUUCCAGCUCCGUACCCUGCUCUUGUGCUCCACUACUUUUCUUGGGUUACUACUUUUUUCUGCUAGCGUAUAACAAGAUGGAAAGAGCUCUGGAGGUGGAUCUGCUGGUGGUAGCGGUGCUGCAUAGUUUGGACCAGUUACCUGUAGCUCUUAAUAGUAGUUGUUAUGGCUUUAAUGUCCCUCUCGUUUAAAUUUCCUUCUGGUUAGGGCACUGUGAUAUGCCUAAGUUUCAAUGUUCCUGAAUACUCUUGGAUGACUGUAUCAAAUACACUCUAUCGUUUUCUGUC